Paramuricea clavata is the source of this 111-nucleotide non-coding RNA. The record is from the annotation of a GenBank genome assembly. NCBI's taxonomy places the organism in Eukaryota, Metazoa, Cnidaria, Anthozoa, Malacalcyonacea, Plexauridae.
CCUUCUAAAGUUUGCAAAUUUUGUAUACUUUUGUAUUGCAAAUUUUGUAUACUUUUGUAUUGCAAUUUUCACAUGCAAUACAAAAGUAUACAAAAUUUGCAAACUUUGCAA